CAGAGCAGGAGAAACUUGAGCAUCUCGUAACAGCUACGUUAAAGAGCAGUUGAGGUGACCCUGUUAAUGCUGAUGUAAAUGCCUAAAGUGACCACAGCAGCAGCUGGGAGGUGGCAGAAGAGAGCUGCUUUUCAGCCAUGCCCUUUGUUGGAAGCUUACUGGAGAGUUAAGAGGAGCAUACUCCGUGUAAAAGCAUACAGAAAAUGCAGUGGGUUAGAAGAGCCUUGUGCAUAGAAGUUACUAACCCUGUGAUGGAUCAUAUUCAUAAAGGAUUUCAGGAAUCAACAUAUUCCUCAUUCGAGAAUCUUUCCAUCCUUACCACCACAAGCCAAACAAGCUCUUGCUCAAACUUCAGGCUGCGGAGGGUCAGGGAUAAAGACAGCUGCCGACACGACUUUGAGUGUACCUCCUUCUCAGAGAAGUCCUCGGGUGGCACAGAGCUGGCUCCAUGAGAACUGUGCUUGGCUUCAGCUGUGCAGGAGAGAAAGGGGAGGUAUUGACCUUCCAUCACUGACCAGCAGAUGCUGGGCUACCCUGGAUUCACUCAAGUGUGCCUGGCUCCUGCGCUCUGAAGAGGAUGCUCCGCUCCGCUCUGCAGCAAUGCAUCCAGGAGGACAGCAGUUAAGAUGUGGGCCUUAUUUUCCUGCCCAAAUCCCGCGGGAGAAGCAGCGAUCACAUGCUAUUCGUUGUUUCAAGAUUAUUGAAGAAACCACUGCUAUUGAACUGGCAGGGGAUCUUUCCUUCUGUGACCUUUGCCAGAGCAUCUGAUUGGUGUGCCCCAGCUGCAGGCCCUAAUUUUCUUGGGAAAGUUUUAAGAUCGUCUGAAAAGCAACCGUCUUCUUUCCUAGCCCUUACUGACUUGUACGGGCUUUUCCUGGCCUUUCCAACUGCAGUGUGAAGGGGAUUGUUUGUUUUCUUUUUAAAUGUUAUCCUGCCUUCCUCCUCUUUUUUAACAAAACUGUACGUGAAGACUCACUGUGUAUGGAGCAUGGCACAUGGACGGAGUGGCUGCUUUGAACUACUUUCGCAACAAUGGAUUCUGCUCGACUGAUAAUGAAACCAUGGGAUAGACCUCAGGGAGGAUGCUGCUGCGAAAGUCUUAUUUCUGAGGGUGCUGCAGCCCCAGAGGGAAAAUUUUCCUGCAGGUCGCUCUGAAGGAACUUGCACCAAAGUAACCAAGGGUAUGGCCCCUGGCACCUUCAUUUUCCUCGGCUCCUGUGGUGGCAGAAGCGGGUGGAGGGAAGUAACCUAUCCCAUUUCUGUUUGAAAAUAUUUAGCUUGAGUGAUGUGAAGAUUUCAGUAGAUCUGUGACAAGAUCAAAGACUAUAAAUUAUUUAACAGUGGUUCUACUUUUGUGGAAUUAUUUAAAGUAUCAUAAUUGCAGCUCAGCUUCCCAGCCUUCAUUUUCAAGUCUGGAAUUCUGUUGGGAACUAUCAUAAUCACUGAAGAGUAUAAUAUUACAGGCUGGGUAUAAAAAUAUCUUUUUAAUGACUAGCAAAUUAGUGAAAUGUCUUGACCUGAAUCUAGACCAAACAGAAGACAGUGUUUUUAUGGAGGGGGAAGAAAGACUAAAUUGUCACCACAUUGUUAUUCUUGUUAAAUUCUCCACUACUUAAAAUGUCAGUUGAUUAGAUAAAAUUUGUAACACUGUGCAUCAAUGCAAGUGAUGAAGGGCUGUGUGUUACAUAGUAUCUUGGCAUUUCUACACUUUUGUUUUCCUUUUAAUGCUAGCAUGUGCGUUCUGUGACUGAAACUUGGAAAAAUAAAGGCUAUUCAUUACUUCAGUACCCUGUGAACAAUAGGGAUCACGAAAGGCAUUGCAGGGAACUCCUCUGUGUGUUGGCUCUUCAAGAAGCAGGAUGGGCCCUUGGAGGGUUUUCUCUUAGGCUUCAAGUAGUUGUUGUGUGCAUGAUCUGCCUGGCUAAGCGCUGUGUGUCUGACCUGACGUAAGACCUAGAAGGGGCAAGAGUUUCCCACUCCAUACCUUGUGAUUCAAAGAGUUCACUGAGUCUCUGUUUACCUAUGAAAAGCAUUUAUGCUCCAAAUUCCUGUUUGUAAAUGAACUGGAGGAAACUGAGCCCUUGUGUUCCUCUGAGCAGUCAGAUAUCAGUGGCUAAAUUCUCAGUUUGGGCAAUUUGGAACAUAGAGUAACGACGCCAGGCAGGUCUCUGCAGACGAGGGUUCAGUUCCCAGUUACGCUAUCAGUUUCCAGUGUGAUUUGGGGCGAGUCACUGACCUUUCUGUUCUUCAUUUCCCCCAAAUUAAACCAGAAGCGAUAAUAUCAACCUGUUUACAUGGUGAGCAUUAGGUUACCAGGGCUGCAUUUGCAGUGCAGAGCCUCCCUAUCAAAAGAGUGAAAUCCUAAUGGUAGUGCAGACAACUUGACUGCAUUUUGCCUUCGCAGCAGGGUAAAACAGGUAUUUUGGGACAGAGGGCGUCCUGCAUUCACAGGACACCUUAUGCAACGAAGCUAUAGUCUGUAGCUCAGAUAACCUACGUCAAAACAUGCAAUAGGAGUCCAGGGAUAACAUGAUGCAGGAAAGGAGGUGGUCUCCAUCCCAGUCUUCUUCUCCUGCUGGCCAGAGUCCUUGCUGCUUUGCUUUGCUGCAGAAAUGAACAUGACUUUGCCUGCUUUUGACUCACCUCUUCUCUUAAAUUUUUUCUCUACUUGGGCUAGGUGGUACAACUGCUUAGCGAGGGCACCAGCCUUUCAGUCCCAGCUGCCCAAGUGUAGCAGCCAUGAGGAAGAGUGCCGUUAAUCACUCAUUUUUAACAUCUCUGCAAAACGCUGCGGCUCCAUGGCUCGAUGAUCUCUGCUUGAGAGAAGCCCGCUUCAAUAAAAACAGAACUUUUGUGAUCUUGGGAAGCAAAGACAAAUGAGAAAUUUGUUCAGCACUUGGCUGAAAGAAAUGUGAUUGGUCUUUAAUUAACAGGAGCGCGAAGGAGCUUCAUGAAUUAAAUGAAAAAGACUGUUAUCCUGAGACUUUGUAUUCUGGAGGGACCCGCAUGGCAGGUUGGAGGCAACCCACAGCAAGGCUGCGCUCAGUACCUGCACGGACUGCGUAGGCACGCGUGCUCCUCAGAUUAGUGACAUCUCCCAGGAGGCGAACGCAAUGCGAACAAUCGCUUCUGCUGGCAAAUGUCAUCUGUUAGAUAUCAGCCUAAUUUUCUCCAGUGACACAAAGCAGACUUCAUCCUCGCUACGUCGUGACAGCAGCGUUUUGUUAGCCUGCGUGCAACCUGGCGUUCUGGCCCAGCUCCUCCUUCAGGCUGCGUGUUGACAUGCACUGGGGAUCUGGAGUCUCCAAAGCAUUAAGGCAAGAUUGUAUCAUGGCACGGCCAUUUCUUUCACUUCUCCACACUGGAUUACGUUCUCCUACUCAUUGAAAAAUAGUAGAAAUGUUUCUCUAAGAGCUUACUCACUUGCUACAGACCCCUGCUGUCUAGUUUUGCUGAAGAUGUGCUGACAGGUCAGGAAGAGCUUAGAAAAGGACAUGAGGAGAAUGAUCAGAGGUGAAAAAACUACCCACAGAAGCUCAAUAGAAUUAGUUUAUCCAACACCAUGACCUAAUGAUAUCCUAGAUGUACUUUGAAGGAAGAAGAGCUUUGUGAUUAAUGGAUAGCUUUUUUUUAUCUGCCAGGAAAACAGUUGCUAAAAUAGGAAAUGAGGAUUUUUUUUUUCUUUUUUAAGUUGGAAAAAUGAUUAACCACUGCUUUCCUGGACAUAUGAUGAGGUCUUCAUCACUUUCAGUCUUUAAAAAUUAAACUUUUUAUUUUUGGAGCUGGGAGAAGGUUUUGUGGCCUGUGGUGGUAGGAGGUGAUCGAGCAGACUUGAUUCUUGCAAUUACAUAUAACUGCCUGCUUUACCAAUAAGGUUUUGCCUGAAACUCUUAGUGAGGCUAUACUGUAUGUAAGCAGGCUUUGGAUACCUUCCCAGAUGUAUUCCAGAUACACCCUGCACUACACACAGACUAGAUAGUGGUGCAAUCUCAUCUAGCGUGUGCCCUGAAAUUACUGCUCAUUUCUCUUUAUAAUAAAUGAGAGCUAUUUGCUACAAUCUUCCUAAAGCUGUAAUGCAUCGGCAUCCUGGAGUGCAAGAGUCCUAUCUUGGAUGGCUACAUUCAAAACAUACCCUAGGGACUGUUAGAGAAAUUUAUAAUCAUCCCUUUAGAAUCCCAGGAUUAAGUUCUAAGUGGCAAGCAAAUAAAUAAACAAUGCUUCUCCCUAUUGCCUAUUUAUUUCUCGGAGAUCAAUGGAACGUUCAAGGAUGAAAUUGGUUUUCUUAGAGGAUUAAAAAAAUAUUUUAAAUAGUUUUUUAUUAUGAGAAUUAAUAUUGUGGAUUCUGGAGAGGUGAGAGGUUAGUGUGAGCCAGGUUAUUGUAAACUGUUUCAUUCUGAAAGAAGCAUUUAGGGGUAUGAAAAGAGAAAUGAAGUUAAAGGACACCUUGUUUUAGCUCGUCAGUUUGACAUCCUGCUAAAAGAAGUCUGUGAAAUUGCCUGCUGUUGCUGGAAACUGGGCAAAUGCUGUGGAAAUGUGCACAGGUGAGGACGUUUGUGCACUGUGUUGUGCCAACACGUGUAUUUGCAAUCCCUGUUUGGGGCAGUGUUGUUUUGUAACAGGUCCCCCUAUUUCCCCUCUUCUUGUACCUGGUCUGGAAUAGCAAGUGACAACUACACACGUACAGGGCGACCCCAGCAGGUGCAGGGCACAGACGGUACUUCCACACCUACUACUUCUGACCAAAAUGCACGUGGAUAACAGGCAGGUUUCUUCCACUGUUGAAUUAGUCCGUGACUGUUGGUGUUGUUUUCCUUCUCCCAUUUUCCAUGGACUCCUCUUCUGUCUGAGUUUGGAAGGGAACAAACAGAUUGUUUUGGUUCUGUUUUACCAAAAUGAAGAGAAUAGCAAGCAGGGAGGUUUAGGGCUGGUAACUGAAGUUCAGAAUGGUUUGAAGGGCUGUGGAUUGGGGCUCUGGUCGCUGCCACCUCAUAAAAAAAGCAAGGCUCUCUCUUUUUCUGUUUGGGGAAAAACAAACCAAAAAAUAUGAAAAAACAAUACU
Long non-coding RNA from Cygnus olor (mute swan), 5059 nucleotides. RefSeq lists it as uncharacterized. The transcript is spliced from 5 exons. NCBI's taxonomy places the organism in Eukaryota, Metazoa, Chordata, Aves, Anseriformes, Anatidae. The record is from RefSeq and is a predicted model, not a curated record.